Long non-coding RNA from Carassius gibelio (silver crucian carp), 2822 nucleotides. RefSeq lists it as uncharacterized. The transcript has 4 exons. The record is from RefSeq and is a predicted model, not a curated record. NCBI's taxonomy places the organism in Eukaryota, Metazoa, Chordata, Actinopteri, Cypriniformes, Cyprinidae.
UGCACACACUCUGAUACAAUUAAGGGAAAGAGAUUUCUGACAUGAUGUUCUGUCAGACGCCCCACAGUGUACACAGUGCCUGCAGUAUACUUUCCCCUUACUGGAGAGGAUGCAGCUGCUAAAUGUGAAAAAUAAGGGACACAGUUCAUUCUAGAUCAUUCUACGGUAAGCUGUAACCCCAUAAUAUUCAUAAAGAAAGUCAGCUUAGCAUUAUUUUAAAAACAUAGCUUUCUUACAUAUGACCAUACAGUAUAUGCUACAUUCAGCUGCUCUCAGAAUCCUGACAAAAUCCAAGAUGUAGAUGAGUUUGUUUCUUCAUCUGAACAGUUUUAGAGAAAUCCACAUCACUUGAUCACCAGUAGAUCCUCUGCAGUGAAUGAGUCAGAAAAAGAGUUUAAACAGUUGAUAAAAACAUCACAACAAUUCCCCCCGACUCUAAUCCAUCAAGUAAUGUCUUGUGAAGCAAAAAGCUGUGUAUUUGUAAGAAUCAAAUCCAUCAAGAUGUUUUAACUUUGAACUGUCGCUUCUGGCCAAAAUAUGACUCCAUAAUCCACAAUAGUGCUUCAUUAUUGAAAACGUCCAUUCCCUGUUGUACUCUCACAUCAAAAUCAACCCACAUACAGCAUUUGUUUAGAACCCUUUUGGACUUUUUGCUUGUAAAAUGGUGCUUGAUCUGUGCACAUUUCUUUCCUGAUUCAGACGAGACUUUGUUUUUUUGUUUUUUUUGUUUUUUUUUUACUAGAGAAAUCAAUAUUAUAGAGGACUCGUAUAGUAGCCGGAAGUAAUGUUUGAAGUUCAAAAUGUCUUGAUGGAUUUGGUUAUUGUGAUCAUGCAGCUGGGGUAUUAUUGUGAUGUUUUUAUCCACUGUUUGGACUCUCCUUCUGACGGCACACAUUCACUUAAGAGGUAAACUAUUUCCUGAUAAAGAAACAAACUCAUCUAACCUGAUGGUGAGUACAUUUUCAGCCAAUAUUCAUUUUUGAGUGUACUAUUCCUUUAAUACAGCAGUAAACAUCAACUAACGAUUUUAGUAGUAUUAGAUUUUAUUUCCUACAUAAUCUCACUUAUUUUUUUAUAUUUAAAGUUUUAUUCAUGAACUAACACUGAGCAUUGCAAGUGUAUUUAUAAAUGAACAUAACCAAAGCUAUGAAGUCAUAUUGAAAAGUUCUAUGUUUGUUUUGUACAGGAAAAAAAGAUGUGACGACGAUUAGGUUAGUUUUGCUCUGUAAAACCCCCAAAGCAGCGCAUGUAUCAUAUAACAUAAAUGUUUGACACUACGAAUUCCAUACAUUUUCUGAAGUGGGAUUUCUUCUUCUAAAACUUUCUCACGGAUUGCAGUGAAAUGUUAUUAUUCAGGCCUCUAUGGUAAAAGCACACAUGGAUCUAUGUGUUUCUAUGGAAUUUGUAGCUUGCUUUAUUUUAUAGAUAAUGUAGCACCAAAUAUAUUUUUUAAGUAAUGCAAAAGAUUUACUUAACAAUUAAAUACAUGUUUUUUUUCUUUCUUUCCAGAAUUACAGUACAGUGUAAGCCUGAUCAGCGAGCACCCUACCAGGAUCCAGACAUAACUACAUUUCCUCAGCUCUGAUAAAGACCCCCUGGAGACCGGAGUCUCCUGUUUACAGACUGGAACAAGGUGGGCAGGAUGGUUUUGACAAAGACAUUGGCGCCCAGAUGGAGCCUCAGGUGCUGUUUCUGCUGCAUCUCAGACAGUCUGAUCACCUCUGUGCCUGCCAACUGCACAGAGAGAGUAACAGAAAAAUAAAGCAAGUUGUCCAUGUGGUCCUCUGGCAUGCCUAGUGGCAUAUUGGGAACCUUCUUAAUCUGGAGCAGAACAAAAGAACAAAACCAAGCAUGAGCACCUAUCUUCCUCACUGCACAACUUAUGAUGGAUAGGAGGCCUUAAUGAGCUUCUUACAAGCAAUUAAAUAAUCAGGGAGCCCUGCUGUUUGCCGAUGAGGCUUUAGAGCGCGCUGACAAACGGUGGGCCAUCAGCGCUCCAAUCAACAGGACACGGCACUCAGUGCUGUCACCAAUGCUAUUUUAAACAAUGACUCUCUGCACCGCCGAGAAAACACUCAUAGGAAUCAUGUUCACAGGAGUGGGAAUGUUUUGUACAGGCAUUUAACUCAGUGUUUUGCAAACUGUAUCUUUCUUGGCCGUACAGAUGCACUGUUACAGUUUUGUGCGGCUGGCGUUAGUAUGUUAUUCAUUUGACCGUAGUUAAAUGAAUAGUUCACCCCCAAAAUGAAAAUUAUUUUGUUAAUUAAUAGUUAGCACACCUGUAUGCUGUUAUUUUAUUCAUGGAACCCAAUAAGGGAAAUUUGGUAGAAUCUUCUCACCAAUCGUUUCCAACAACAAUUGGUGACAAUGAGAUUUGAGAAAGGAAUAUUGUCUGUGUGUAUAAGUUUCAGCUUUAAGUUUUCAACACAAAUCAAUCAUAAGGCUUUCAAUUUUUUUAAGUUCCAUGGACUACAUUUUUUAACUUUUAUAGUAUUUGUCAUCAGAUUUUUCAGCAAGGUUACAACAAACUUUGUAUCUAAAGGUGUUGUGCGAACAAUUUUCGAUGAAAAAAUAACAACAUAAGGGUCUGGAAUGACACGAAAGUGGUUAAAUAAUGGCAAAAAAAAAAAAUUCCAAAACUCUGGGGUCAAUCAGAUAAAAUAAAAUAAUCAUCAAGGAUACAUUCAAAGUGACAAUAAAGAACUGAAUAAACAGAAAAUGCUGUUCUUUUGAACUAUGAAUUGUGAAACAAAUAUAUUAUGUUCUCACAAAAAUCUUACAUAUGGCAACUGUUUUCAAUAAUAACAAUAAACGUUUCUUCA